RNAcentral lists this ribosomal RNA (159 nucleotides) under Neolamarckia cadamba. RNAcentral describes it as "5.8S ribosomal RNA". It matches the Rfam family "5.8S ribosomal RNA". Rfam says of the family: 5.8S ribosomal RNA (5.8S rRNA) is a component of the large subunit of the eukaryotic ribosome. It is transcribed by RNA polymerase I as part of the 45S precursor that also contains 18S and 28S rRNA. The record is from RNAcentral. Lineage: Eukaryota; Viridiplantae; Streptophyta; Magnoliopsida; Gentianales; Rubiaceae.
ACGACUCUCGGCAACGGAUAUCUCGGCUCUCGCAUCGAUGAAGAACGUAGCGAAAUGCGAUACUUGGUGUGAAUUGCAGAAUCCCGUGAACCAUCGAGUCUUUGAACGCAAGUUGCGCCCGAAGCCGUUAGGCCAAGGGCACGUCUGCCUGGGCGUCAC